UCCGUGGUGGUCUAGUGGUUAGGACUCAGGGCUUUCACCCUUGGGGCCACGGUUCAAUCCCUGCUCUGGGA
RNAcentral lists this transfer RNA (71 nucleotides) under Sus scrofa (pig). It matches the Rfam family "tRNA". Rfam says of the family: Transfer RNA (tRNA) molecules are approximately 80 nucleotides in length. Their secondary structure includes four short double-helical elements and three loops (D, anti-codon, and T loops). The record is from Rfam by way of RNAcentral. Lineage: Eukaryota; Metazoa; Chordata; Mammalia; Artiodactyla; Suidae.